GUCUGUUGCUUCAUGACCUGAGGUUUUCAGCCAUUUCUCCUCAAAGUGCUACAUGUCUGUCCUUCUGUCUUUGUGAAUGAAGUACAAAGAGAACACAGAAAAACAGAGUCACCAUCCCCAAGGGAUAAACAUCAGCAGGAUGCAAAGGUUUCUGACCUUUGACCACAUGACUUUUUAGGAUAAAAUCGCUUCAAACUGACAGAUCGCAGUGAAGGAGGUGAGCAAUUUUCUGUCCGCAAAAAUUCUACAGCUCGCGAUAGACAGAGCGGAACACGCUUCUCCAUUUGCUUGGUUACCUGGGUGACGAUUCCUGCCCCAUCUGAUUGGUUGCCUGUGAAGCGGCUACAGUGACGACACCAGCGCCUUUCUGAAAAGUUCAGAGAUUUUCAACUGGAAGAGCCCGGAGCAGAUCACAGCACUGAACCAUUAAAUAUAAGUCAGCACUACAUGGAAGAGGGCAAUAGAUCCAGCCCCACAGUAUAUGGCAACCUGACGGGUGUGUGUGUGUGUGAGAGAGAGGGAGGAUGAAUUGAAAAACUGGACAUGUAAUUGAAAUAAAUGGUUGCUCUUGA
Xiphias gladius (swordfish) is the source of this 572-nucleotide long non-coding RNA. RefSeq lists it as uncharacterized. The record is from RefSeq and is a predicted model, not a curated record. NCBI's taxonomy places the organism in Eukaryota, Metazoa, Chordata, Actinopteri, Istiophoriformes, Xiphiidae. The transcript is spliced from 5 exons.